GCAUAUCAAUAAGCGGAGGAAAAGAAACUAACCAGGAUUCCGUCAGUAAGGGCGACUGAAGUGGCAAUAGCUCACCAUGUGAAUCUGCGUAAGCCGAAUUGUGGUUUCGCUUGUGUUAGGGGCUGGGCCAAGUCCGUUGGAACACGGCAGCUGAGAGGGUGAGACUCCCGUUUGCCUGGCCCUUGGAACAAGUGUGUUCGAGUCGAGUUGUUUGGGAAU
Molecule: ribosomal RNA, 219 nt
Filed under: uncultured fungus
Lineage: Eukaryota; Fungi
Description: partial 26S ribosomal RNA
Rfam family: Eukaryotic large subunit ribosomal RNA
Source: RNAcentral